This 72-nucleotide transfer RNA is filed under the name Lacipirellula limnantheis. RNAcentral's name for it is "Planctomycetes bacterium I41 tRNA-Gln". It matches the Rfam family "tRNA". From Rfam's summary of the family: Transfer RNA (tRNA) molecules are approximately 80 nucleotides in length. Their secondary structure includes four short double-helical elements and three loops (D, anti-codon, and T loops). The record is from RNAcentral. Lineage: Bacteria; Pseudomonadati; Planctomycetota; Planctomycetia; Pirellulales; Lacipirellulaceae.
UGGCUCCUGGUGUAGUGGUCGCACGACUGGCUCUGAACCAGUCAGACGCCGUUCGAUUCGGCGGGAGCCUGC